UUACUGACGCUAAAGCUCGAAAGUGCGGGUAUCGAACAGGAUUAGAUACCCUGGUAGUCCGCACGGUAAACGAUGGAUGCCCGCUGUUCGCGAUAUAUUGUGAGCGGCCAAGAGAAAUCGUUAAGCAUCCCACCUGGGGAGUACGCCGGCAACGGUGAAACUCAAAGGAAUUGACGGGGGCCCGCACAAGCGGAGGAACAUGUGGUUUAAUUCGAUGAUACGCGAGGAACCUUACCCGGGCUUGAACUGCCGGCGAACGAUACAGAGAUGUUGAGGCCCUUCGGGGCGCCGGUGGAGGUGCUGCAUGGUUGUCGUCAGCUCGUGCCGUGAGGUGUCGGCUUAAGUGCCAUAACGAGCGCAACCCUUUUCGUCAGUUGCCAUCAGGUGAUGCUGGGCACUCUGGCGACACUGCCACCGUAAGGUGUGAGGAAGGUGGGGAUGACGUCAAAUCAGCACGGCCCUUACGUCCGGGGCUACACACGUGUUACAAUGGGGCAUACAGAAGGCCGGUGCAUGGCAAUGUGCAUCCAAUCUUAAAAGUGCUCCUCAGUUCGGAUUGGGGUCUGCAACCCGACCCCAUGAAGCUGGAUUCGCUAGUAAU
This 601-nucleotide ribosomal RNA is filed under the name uncultured bacterium. RNAcentral describes it as "bacterial SSU rRNA". It matches the Rfam family "Bacterial small subunit ribosomal RNA", at positions 737 to 1342 of the family's 1533-position model. The record is from RNAcentral.